This is a non-coding RNA of Tephrocybe sp. NHM501043, 97 nucleotides long. NCBI's taxonomy places the organism in Eukaryota, Fungi, Basidiomycota, Agaricomycetes, Agaricales, Lyophyllaceae. The record is from the annotation of a GenBank genome assembly.
GGUGAGAUGGCCGAGCGGUCUAAGGCGCCAGACUAAGGUACCUUGUGCUCAAUAUCUGGUCUCUUCGGGGGCGGGAGUUCGAAUCUCCCUCUCAUCA